GCCAGGUGUGGUGGCUCACGCCUGUAAUCCCAGCACUCUGGGAGGCUGAGGUGGGCGGAUCACCUGAGGUCAGGAGUUCAAGACCAGCCUGGCCAAUAUGGUGAAACCCCAUCUCUC
Papio anubis (olive baboon) is the source of this 117-nucleotide unclassified non-coding RNA. It matches the Rfam family "Metazoan signal recognition particle RNA". Rfam says of the family: The signal recognition particle (SRP) is a universally conserved ribonucleoprotein. It is involved in the co-translational targeting of proteins to membranes. The record is from Ensembl. NCBI's taxonomy places the organism in Eukaryota, Metazoa, Chordata, Mammalia, Primates, Cercopithecidae.